This 148-nucleotide unclassified non-coding RNA is filed under the name uncultured Ascomycota. RNAcentral's name for it is "sequence contains ITS2". Lineage: Eukaryota; Fungi; Ascomycota. The record is from RNAcentral.
AGACCAUAAGGCUUUGCCUUGCGUUGAGCUUAUUUGGACGUCAAGUCCAAAAGCUCCAAACAAAUUGGCGUCUGACUUUGGGCCAGCAAACACAGCGAUAUGUGAUUGUAAUCCAAAUGACUGACUGCCAGUCUCCCAAAAAUUAAAC